This 469-nucleotide ribosomal RNA is filed under the name uncultured bacterium. RNAcentral's name for it is "bacterial SSU rRNA". It matches the Rfam family "Bacterial small subunit ribosomal RNA", at positions 330 to 793 of the family's 1533-position model. The record is from RNAcentral.
CGUAGACUCCUACGGGAGGCAGCAGUGGGGAAUAUUGCACAAUGGGCGCAAGCCUGAUGCAGCCAUGCCGCGUGUGUGAAGAAGGCCUUCGGGUUGUAAAGCACUUUCAGUCGUGAGGAAGGUGGUAGUGUUAAUAGCACUAUCAUUUGACGUUAGCGACAGAAGAAGCACCGGCUAACUCCGUGCCAGCAGCCGCGGUAAUACGGAGGGUGCGAGCGUUAAUCGGAAUUACUGGGCGUAAAGCGUGCGCAGGCGGUCUGUUAAGCGAGAUGUGAAAGCCCCGGGCUCAACCUGGGAACUGCAUUUCGAACUGGCAGACUAGAGUCUUGUAGAGGGGGUAGAAUUCCAGGUGUAGCGGUGAAAUGCGUAGAGAUCUGGAGGAAUACCGGUGGCGAAGGCGGCCCCUGGACAAAGACUGACGCUCAGGCACGAAAGCGUGGGGAGCAAACAGGAUUAGAUACCCUGGUAG